AGAGAAUAGUUUAUUAAAAUUUUAAUUUUGGAGAUUAAAGAUAAGGUUAUCCUUUUCUCUGAA
Molecule: transfer RNA, 63 nt
Filed under: Anastrangalia sequensi
Lineage: Eukaryota; Metazoa; Arthropoda; Insecta; Coleoptera; Cerambycidae
Description: tRNA-Pro
Source: RNAcentral